UUUUUCUACGUGUUUGCUAUGCGGAUGUUAACAGGAUUUAUCUAGCGCUUUACACCUUUUAUAUAGCGGUUUUAUAAGAAGGCUACAUGGAAACAGUAACAGAGAAUUCAGCAAACGAAAUAUGUAACAAGAUGAUAUUCUGAUAUUCUAAAAUAUAUUCAUCAUAAAACCAAUUUGAUGGAAAAUUUAAAUCAAAUUUUUUUGCAGUGUACUUAAACAACUUAUCUAUAUGCCGUAUCUUUAAUGGACAUCGACAAUUAUUCUGGGCCAUUUUUCCCUAUCAUCGAUCGCUCCUAACAACUGAACAGUCCUCAUUCCAGUUCACUGUCGUAGAUUUUGGAACCACGUCUUUAAAUGUCCAGAUCUUCCUUUUAUCUUUCCUUGUUCAAAUUAUUUAGAUGCGUUCAUUUUAGAAAGUAAGAUAGCUUCAUUAGAAAACGGUACUAACCAAGUCAUCGAAUAUUCGAAGGAUAAAUCAUGAGAAGAAAAUGUCCAAAUACUUUAAUUUUUCUUUUUAGAUUAAAAAGAAGUCAUAUGCAUGUUUAUACAGUAUCCUACACCUGACAUACCCAUCUGUUAGUGCCGUGAUGUAUUUGAAGAUGCAGAGAUCCGCAGAUAAACUUUCUGUUAAUGGAUGAAGACGUCAGACUUCUGCUCUUGGAUACUUUUGACGAUUAAUAUCAAUAAUGAGGUGGAAGAGUGGAUCAAAGUUUGAGAAGCUUGAAAAAGAAGGUCGGAGACCUCCCCAUCAAUAAAGAAGCUCUUGAGUGUCGUCUUGCUUCCGGUGGUUUGACAUCAUUACAUCGAGGCGGUCAAAAAUCAUUAAGGUCGACCAUCUUUCAUUUUACUGUCUGCCUUCCAGACAACUUGUGCACUUUAUGAACAUCUUUCACUAAAUUCUUAUAUCAAUUUUAGUGCAUACAUUAUAAUAUGUCUUUCUGCUGUGAUUGAUAACUCGGUAUUUUUUGCAUCAUGUAUUUAGUAAAAUAUUAAAU
This is a long non-coding RNA of Centruroides sculpturatus (bark scorpion), 995 nucleotides long. RefSeq lists it as uncharacterized. The record is from RefSeq and is a predicted model, not a curated record. NCBI's taxonomy places the organism in Eukaryota, Metazoa, Arthropoda, Arachnida, Scorpiones, Buthidae. The transcript has 6 exons.